CUGGGAAUCGAACUAAACCAGCGACCUUUUGGUUCACGGUGGAUGCCCAUCCAAAGGAGCCACAUCAGCCAGGGCUAGGCAUGGCUUCCUUUUAUUGGUGGUAUUUAUCUCCUCGUUCAACAAACCUUUGUCAAGGGUCGAUUGUGUGCCAGGCACUGUGCUGGGUGCUGGGGACACAGCCGGGAACCAGACUCAGAGGUCUGCCCUGUGGGGCUGAAGUUCUGAUGGGGGAGACACAUUGAAGAAUGAAAAACUCCCUCCAGAACUUCACAUCCUCAACGUGGAGACGUCCAGGAAGACGUGGAAGCACGCGAAACCUCUAACAGCCACGGGCGGACGUACUGAGCCCUCUGGGCUGUCCAGGGCGAGUGCACCAACACUCUGUGCUGGAUGAACCUGUUUGGGCGAAAAGCUUUGGGCACCUCCUCGUCUAAACUCUGCCACGUGUUUUCCAUUUUCAUUUCUGUUUUGAUCUGUGUAGUGGCUUGAAGGGCAUGCCCAUCCCCUCCCAAGGUAUGUCCACCUGAGACCUGUGACUGUGAGCUGACUUGGAAAAAGGGUUUUGCAGAUGCGAUUGAGGUAAGGAUCUCGAGAUGAAAUCUGGGUUAUCCGAGUGAGCCCUAAGUGCAAUGGUAAGUGUCCUUACGAGAGAAAAGGCAGAGGGUGAUAGAGACAGACACAUGGAGACUGGGCUGAUGCGGCCACAAGCCAGGAACACUUGGAGCCACCGGAGGCUGGAAGAGGCGAGGAAUGACCCUCCCCUAGAGCCUCGGCGGGAGUGUGGCCCUGCUGACACCUUGAUUUUGGAUUUCCAGCCGCCAGAAUAAAUUUCUGUUGUUCUAAGCCACCAAGUUUGUGGUAAUCAGGACACUGAUAUAAUCUAGGGGCCUAUCUUCUCCACCCUGAAGGCAGAGUUUCUCUGGCUUUCAGAUACCAUAUCACAGGAGGAAACGGAGGCUUGGAAAGGGGCUGGAGUCAAAACCGGACCUCGGACCCCCAGAGACUCAUCCGAGAUCCAGGGGUCAUUGUGGAAGCCUGCAGGUGAAGAAACGGAGGCCCAAAGUGCCCAGGCGAUUCCCUGAAGCCACCCAGUGCGAGCUACUCACCGGUGCCAUUUCCUCUGUGUUCCCAUGAUGCUCAGACGUGCUACGUGUGCAGAGGACCCCGCCUCCCUGAACUGGUCCUUUCUCUGGUCUAGACCUGGUAACCUUCCUUGAUACAAUCACGGGAACCACUGCUCUUGGGGAGCCAUAUUGACUACAGGAGAGUCUCUUAGCGCCUCCGCCACGUUGGGGUGAGAGAAGGUUGGGUACCACUGCCUUCCCAGGCCACCUGCCUCUUCACUACAAGGUCCCGCAUGACUGAAAUAAGCAUUGCUGACGUGCUUUUGAAUGUCUGGGGGCAAACGGCAAUUUUGAGGGAGCACGGGCUUUGAAGAUGUACCCACCCACCAGCUCCCGCUGGGCACCAGUCCGGACCGGAGACCCAACAGAGCAGCACAUGCAUUGUGCAAACAUUGACAACACGGCCGUGGUGUCCUCUAAACAUUAAAAGGAACUUUCCCCACCUAAGCCUUGGAUUGCUAUAAUCUACCUGACUGCCACGCUUUAGAGACGUCUUUAAGAGAAGAGAUUUCCAGUGGAAAAUGUUUUCAGCUAGCUUAUUUUAAGAUGCACAAUUGAGCCCUGACCGGUUUGGCUCAGUGGAUAGAGCGUCAGCCUGCAGACUGAAGGGUCCCAGGU
Long non-coding RNA from Myotis brandtii (Brandt's bat), 1742 nucleotides. RefSeq lists it as uncharacterized. The transcript is spliced from 3 exons. Lineage: Eukaryota; Metazoa; Chordata; Mammalia; Chiroptera; Vespertilionidae. The record is from RefSeq and is a predicted model, not a curated record.